GGUAAUGGCUCACCAAGGCGACGAUCAGUAGCUGGUCUGAGAGGAUGAUCAGCCACAUUGGGACUGAGACACGGCCCAAACUCCUACGGGAGGCAGCAGUGGGGAAUACUGGACAAUGGGGGCAACCCUGAUCCAGCCAUGCCGCGUGAGUGAUGAAGGCCCUAGGGUUGUAAAGCUCUUUUGUGCGGGAAGAUAAUGACGGUACCGCAAGAAUAAGCCCCGGCUAACUUCGUGCCAGCAGCCGCGGUAAUACGAAGGGGGCUAGCGUUGCUCGGAAUCACUGGGCGUAAAGGGUGCGUAGGCGGGUCUUUAAGUCAGGGGUGAAAUCCUGGAGCUCAACUCCAGAACUGCCUUUGAUACUGAAGAUCUUGAGUUCGGGAGAGGUGAGUGGAACUGCGAGUGUAGAGGUGAAAUUCGU
This 418-nucleotide ribosomal RNA is filed under the name uncultured bacterium. Its description in RNAcentral is "bacterial SSU rRNA". It matches the Rfam family "Bacterial small subunit ribosomal RNA", at positions 256 to 691 of the family's 1533-position model. The record is from RNAcentral.